This 616-nucleotide long non-coding RNA is filed under the name Lathyrus oleraceus (garden pea). Its description in RNAcentral is "Pisum sativum (pea) long non-coding RNA (PSAT_LNC022436)". The record is from RNAcentral. Lineage: Eukaryota; Viridiplantae; Streptophyta; Magnoliopsida; Fabales; Fabaceae.
CGUUUACAAUUUCACUUCCAAUCUAUCCAUUUUCCAUUCAAACCAAUCUACACAUUUACAAUUUCACUACAUUACAAUAUUCAAAUGUUUCUAUUACAACCAUUCAUACAAGACAAUGCCAACAUACAUCAAAAUCCCAUAAUUAAACUUCAAUUCAUUUUCACUAUAACGUUCAAGUUUCAAGUACAACCACAAACCAUGUUAUUAAUCCAAGAUUUCAAAACUACAAAAAAAAAAAACACAAUUUAAACCCCACAAAUAAUCCCAAAACAACUCCAAUGCAUUCCAUGAGCACUCCCCAAAGACAAACCUAGACUAACAUGUGACCUAAGGUUCUAAUCUAAACACUCAACCACAAUUCUUCAUGACCAAUUUCCUCCGAUCCGAUGCAACCCAAGUACCAUGUGCAACCUUCAUUUUAUGAGCUCGAGCCGAAUCUCCAAUGACCUGCAAAACCAUCCGCCCAUAGACAAGAUAAGUUCACCAUUUGAUAUCAUCCAAAAUAAAGUAAAAAAAAAUGAAGAACAAGUUAACAUGAGGACAAUACACUACACCAGUUAACAUAAUUGAUACUUGACAGAAAAAGAAUUUAACAUUUUCCUGCUAAGCCACAUUU